GUUGAACGCUGGCGGCGGGCUUAACACAUGCAAGUCGAGCGGAUGAGGGGAGCUUGCGCCGGGAGUUAGCGUCGGACGGGUGAGUAAUGCCUAGGAGUCUGCCGGGCUGGGGGGGAUAAUGUCUGGAAACGGGUGCUAAUACCGCAUGAGUCGUGAGGGAGCAAGUGGGGGGGGUUCGGAAGGCUAGCUAGCAGGUGAGCGUAGGUCGGAUUAGUUAGUUGGUGGGUUAAGGGCCUACCAAGGCGACGAUCCGCAACUGGUCUGAGAGGAUGAGCAGUCACCCUGGAACGGGACCACGGUCCAUCCUCCUGCGAUAGGGACCAGUCGCGAACAUUGGACAGUGGGCGAAAGCCUUAUCCAGCCAUGCCGCGCGUGUGACGAAGGUCUUCGGAUCGUAAAGAACUUUAAGUUGGGAGGAAGGGCAGUAAGUUAAUACCUUGCUUUUUUGACGGUAACAACAGAAUAAGCACCGGCUAACUUCGUG
RNAcentral lists this ribosomal RNA (484 nucleotides) under uncultured bacterium. RNAcentral's name for it is "partial 16S ribosomal RNA". It matches the Rfam family "Bacterial small subunit ribosomal RNA", at positions 28 to 507 of the family's 1533-position model. The record is from RNAcentral.